RNAcentral lists this transfer RNA (72 nucleotides) under Olea europaea subsp. europaea. RNAcentral describes it as "tRNA.Undet". The record is from RNAcentral. Lineage: Eukaryota; Viridiplantae; Streptophyta; Magnoliopsida; Lamiales; Oleaceae.
AGGCAUCUGGUCUAGUGGUAUAUCUCUUGCUCUGGUUGCAAGAAGUCUUGGGUUCAAUUCUUAGGAUGGCUU